RNAcentral lists this ribosomal RNA (256 nucleotides) under uncultured bacterium. RNAcentral describes it as "partial 16S ribosomal RNA". It matches the Rfam family "Bacterial small subunit ribosomal RNA", at positions 524 to 777 of the family's 1533-position model. The record is from RNAcentral.
UACAGAGGGUGCGAGCGUUGUCCGGAAUCACUGGGCGUAAAGGGCGCGUAGGUGGCGCGACAAGUCAGUGGUGAAAGCUCGACGCUCAACGUCGAGUCGGCCACUGAUACUGUUGGGCUUGAGCACUGUAGAGGCUAAUGGAAUUCCGGGUGUAGCGGUGGAAAUGCGUAGAGAUCCGGAAGAACACCGGUGGCGAAGGCGGUUAGCUGGGCAGUUGCUGACACUGAGGCGCGACAGCGUGGGGGAGCAAACAGGG